GGAGACAGUAACACAGUCAGAUCCUUGGCCAAACAACGCGGAUUGCAGUUCAUUUCAAAGGUUUUGGUAUCAGGAUGAUGCUGGCAUCAUAAAAUGAGUAUUUUUCUUCAGACUUCAGACUGCUGUGCUGGAAGCAAGAAUUUCAAGCAUUGGAUCUUAGCUUGCUGGGCUCCAUAGGGGUGGGAUUCACUGAGCUAGACCACUUGGCUCCCUGGCUUCAGCCCCCUUCCAGAUGUCCUUGGUGUGUACACCCUGUGGAAUCUGGUUCAUCUUCAAUCUGUCAGAAGGCAUCAGAGGUGGUUUUGACUCCUUAUGUCUUGGACCUGUGCACAAAAAGUACGGGCAGGAGAGGAUGCAGGAGACUGUACAAAGUUCAAGAAACGAUAUGCUUUAAUCAAGGUAAAAUGGAUGGAACAUCAGACAGCUCAUUAUAGAGACAAGUAAGCUCCAGUUCCAAAGUUGGUUGACAGAACAAGUCAUGACCUUGUGUGGAGGAAAAUGAGAUCCCGAGUGAAGUCUACAAUGUCAUUGACUCUGAAGAAGGACUCAGAGACCCAUUGGUGUUUAAUGACCCUUACUGGCCUAUGCAAUGGAAACUGAUCUUGAGUGUGCCUUAAAAUUCCAUUUCAUGGAGAACUGUGCGUGGUUGAAUUUUGAUUGAUUACUCAAUUAACUGAUGUAUUGGUAGAGUGAUUAAGAAAGAAGACUUUGGGAUCAGACCAACCUGGUUUUGAAUUCAAGCUCAGCAACUUACUAGGUAAGGAGGAGAAAAGAAAGAAGGAAAAAUUGGAAAGAUAAAUGGGGUCUUUCCAGUGAAGCCUCCAGGCCUCCAGACUGGAACUUAUACCACUGAUUCUUCUGAAUCUUAGGCCUUUGGACUUGGACUGGAACUAAACCAUCAGCUCUUCUUGUUCUACCACUUGCAGACUGUAUAUCUUGGGAUAUGCCAGCCUCUGUAAUCACGCUCAAUUUUCCUACAUAAUUAAGAGUUUGGAAUUUGGGCAAUAUCAAGAACCACAUCUGUCCUGAAAUCAAUUAUCUGUGUUUGAAACACAAGAAAUAAGAAGACCAUUUUGAGAAGAACAGAGAGUAGCCUUAAGAAAAUCCCUGUCGCAAGCACUCUGGGAAUUGGACUCAAAUGCUAAUUAUACAGAACCACUUGGGUGCCCAGCUGCUGUCCAUUCUCCACACUUAUCCCACCUGAUGGAACGCUGUUGAGAAAAACAUCACUGCAAUGCCUAAUAAACAGACAUGGGUCCCAGACCCAAUAAGAGUGAAACCAUCCCCCUAUUUAAAUGAAAUUAUGGCUGAUGAGAAAGACAAAUUAAUUUCUCUGUCCCCAGUAUUACACAAAACUUUGGAUGCUGCCACUGUUACAAUUUUAUUUUCCCCAGGAGCUCAGAGUCCCACCUUCAUUCUUUUUGUUUAAUGCUUAAGCUUGCCUCUCCACCUAUGGAAGACUAGAAUGAGCAGAGACCAUGUAUUCAAUGAUCUGUAAAUCUAACAGGAAACAAUAUAAUAAAUAUAUUGUGUUUGCUAACCAAA
Long non-coding RNA from Gorilla gorilla gorilla (western lowland gorilla), 1545 nucleotides. RefSeq lists it as uncharacterized. NCBI's taxonomy places the organism in Eukaryota, Metazoa, Chordata, Mammalia, Primates, Hominidae. The transcript is spliced from 12 exons. The record is from RefSeq and is a predicted model, not a curated record.